UACGUAGGGUGCGAGCGUUGUCCGGAAUUACUGGGCGUAAAGAGCUCGUAGGUGGUUUGUCGCGUUGUCCGUGAAAACUCACAACUCAAUUGUGGGCGUGCGGGCGAUACGGGCAGACUGGAGUACUGCAGGGGAGACUGGAAUUCCUGGUGUAGCGGUGGAAUGCGCAGAUAUCAGGAGGAACACCGGUGGCGAAGGCGGUUAGCUGGGCAGUUGCUGACACUGAGGCGCGACAGCGUGGGGAGCAAACAGG
This 253-nucleotide ribosomal RNA is filed under the name uncultured bacterium. RNAcentral's name for it is "partial 16S ribosomal RNA". It matches the Rfam family "Bacterial small subunit ribosomal RNA", at positions 524 to 776 of the family's 1533-position model. The record is from RNAcentral.